RNAcentral lists this ribosomal RNA (253 nucleotides) under uncultured bacterium. Its description in RNAcentral is "partial 16S ribosomal RNA". It matches the Rfam family "Bacterial small subunit ribosomal RNA", at positions 524 to 776 of the family's 1533-position model. The record is from RNAcentral.
UACGUAGGGUGCGAGCGUUGUCCGGAAUUACUGGGCGUAAAGAGCUCGUAGGUGGUUUGUCGCGUUGUCCGUGAAAACUCACAACUCAAUUGUGGGCGUGCGGGCGAUACGGGCAGACUGGAGUACUGCAGGGGAGACUGGAAUUCCCGGUGUAGCGGUGGAAUGCGCAGAUAUCAGGAGGAACACCGGUGGCGAAGGCGGGUCUCUGGGCAGUAACUGACGCUGAGGAGCGAAAGCGUGGGGAGCGAACAGG